GUGAGGAAUAUUGGUCAAUGGGCGCAAGCCUGAACCAGCCAUGCCGCGUGCAGGAAGACGGUCCUAUGGAUUGUAAACUGCUUUUAUUUGGGAAUAAACUCCGGUACGUGUACCGGCCUGAAGGUACCAAAUGAAUAAGCACCGGCUAACUCCGUGCCAGCAGCCGCGGUAAUACGGAGGGUGCAAGCGUUAUCCGGAAUCAUUGGGUUUAAAGGGUCCGCAGGCGGUCUUAUAAGUCAGUUGUGAAAGCCUACAGCUCAACUGUAGAACUGCCAUUGAUACUGUAGGACUUGAAUUCGAUCGAAGUGGGCGGAAUGUGACAUGUAGCGGUGAAAUGCUUAGAUAUGUCACAGAACACCGAUAGCGAAGGCAGCUCACUAGGUCUGGAUUGACGCUCAGGGACGAAAGCGUGGGGAGCAAACAGGAUUAGAAACCCUUGUAGUCC
This 445-nucleotide ribosomal RNA is filed under the name uncultured bacterium. RNAcentral describes it as "partial 16S ribosomal RNA". It matches the Rfam family "Bacterial small subunit ribosomal RNA", at positions 354 to 796 of the family's 1533-position model. The record is from RNAcentral.